This 79-nucleotide transfer RNA is filed under the name chicken gut metagenome. The stretch from base 7 to 76 matches the Rfam family "tRNA", at positions 8 to 63 of the family's 71-position model. Rfam says of the family: Transfer RNA (tRNA) molecules are approximately 80 nucleotides in length. Their secondary structure includes four short double-helical elements and three loops (D, anti-codon, and T loops). Further hydrogen bonds mediate the characteristic L-shaped molecular structure. tRNAs have two regions of fundamental functional importance: the anti-codon, which is responsible for specific mRNA codon recognition, and the 3' end, to which the tRNAs corresponding amino acid is attached (by aminoacyl-tRNA synthetases). tRNAs cope with the degeneracy of the genetic code in two manners: having more than one tRNA (with a specific anti-codon) for a particular amino acid; and 'wobble' base-pairing, i.e. permitting non-standard base-pairing at the 3rd anti-codon position. The record is from RNAcentral.
GAGGAUUGGCUGAGCGGUUUAAAGCGGCGGUCUUGAAAACCGUUGAUGUGAAAGCAUCCGCAGGUUCGAAUCCUGUGUC